This 379-nucleotide ribosomal RNA is filed under the name uncultured bacterium. RNAcentral's name for it is "bacterial SSU rRNA". It matches the Rfam family "Bacterial small subunit ribosomal RNA", at positions 28 to 408 of the family's 1533-position model. The record is from RNAcentral.
GAUGAAUGCUAGCGGGAGGCCUAAUACAUGCAAGUCGAACGGUAACAGGUAGCAAUACGCUGACGAGUGGCGCACGGGUGCGUAACGCGUACACAAUCUGCCUUAUACUGGGGCAUAGCCUUUGGAAACGAAGAAUAAUUCCCCAUAAUAUAUAGAAGAGGCAUCUCUUUUAUAUUAAAGCUCAGGCGGUAUAAGAUGAGUGUGCGUCCGAUUAGGUAGUUGGUGAGGUAACGGCUCACCAAGCCAACGAUCGGUAGCUGGUCUGAGAGGAUGAUCAGCCACACGGGCACUGAGACACGGGCCCGACUCCUACGGGAGGCAGCAGUAGGGAAUAUUGGACAAUGGGCGCAAGCCUGAUCCAGCCAUCCCGCGUGAAGGA